Molecule: ribosomal RNA, 254 nt
Filed under: uncultured bacterium
Lineage: Bacteria
Description: partial 16S ribosomal RNA
Rfam family: Bacterial small subunit ribosomal RNA
Source: RNAcentral
UACGAGGGGAGCAAGCGUUGUUCGGAUUUACUGGGCGUAAAGGGCGCGUAGGCGGUCGUGACAAGUCACUUGUGAAAUCUCCGGGCUUAACUCGGAACGGUCAAGUGAUACUGUCGGACUAGAGUACAGAAGGGGCAACUGGAAUUCUCGGUGUAGCGGUGAAAUGCGCAGAUAUCGGGAGGAACACCGGUGGCGAAGGCGGUUCUCUGGGCCUGUACUGACGCUGAGGAGCGAAAGCGUGGGGAGCGAACAGG